This 253-nucleotide unclassified non-coding RNA is filed under the name uncultured Bacillaceae bacterium. Its description in RNAcentral is "contains 16S-23S intergenic spacer region". It matches the Rfam family "Bacterial small subunit ribosomal RNA", at positions 524 to 776 of the family's 1533-position model. Lineage: Bacteria; Bacillati; Bacillota; Bacilli; Caryophanales; Bacillaceae. The record is from RNAcentral.
UACGUAGGGGGCGAGCGUUGUCCGGAAUUAUUGGGCGUAAAGCGCGCGCAGGCGGUUUCUUAAGUCUGAUGUGAAAGCCCACGGCUCAACCGUGGAGGGUCAUUGGAAACUGGGAGACUUGAGUGCAGAAGAGGAAAGUGGAAUUCCAUGUGUAGCGGUGAAAUGCGUAGAGAUAUGGAGGAACACCAGUGGCGAAGGCGACUCUCUGGGCCGGUACCGACGCUGAGGUGCGAAAGCGUGGGUAGCAAACAGG